GCGCUCGGCCUGGGGCGGCGGCGCGGCGGGGGCGGUAGGGGCGGCCGUGAGGGGGGGGAGGCGGGGGCGGCGGGGGCAGAGGAGGAGGAGGAGGAGCGGGGGAGGACCGACGGGAGGAGGGCCCGCCGCUGGCCAACUCUGCCGGCUGGCGAGGCCACCCUGGGCUGGCUCUGGCCCCGCCGGCUGCAGGAGCGCGUCGCGGGGCCGCCCGCCUAUUCCAUGGUCCGCGCACUAGGGACCGGGGCUGGGGCUGGGGCCUGGCCGGAGCGCGCAGGGAGCAUCGAGGGAGCUAGAAGCAUGAGCUAGUGCAGCUCCCCGCAGCCUGCAGCAGAGAGGAUGGUCCGGCCAGGGUCGGCGGCAGAGGGUCGCGCGGGCGGGGGCAAUGCCUGGGACACAGGCCGGCCCUGGCAGGCACGGCGGGGAGGGGGCCCGCGGGGAGGAGACUGGGCUGGGGAGGGAGCCCUGUGUGCAGUCCUUCAACUCUUCCGUGCCAGGGGAAGGGGGACGGAGCAGGGGGGCCCCCUCUCGGGAAGCACACACGCUGCCUCCCAGAGGCCGGUCUUCUUCAGGAAGGAUUCGCUGGAAACUUUCGGAAAAACCGAGGGGUUCUUCAGUACCUCUCUAUUUGCUGCCUGGAGUCAGCGCGCCGCGAGUGCUCUUGGCUGCCGGCGCCUAGCCGCUGGCCUCGCCUCCUCUCGCGGGCCUCCAGGGUUUCCCUCUGCCCCCUUGCGGGGAUCCCCCUGUGCGCCCUGUUCGCGAUUUGGAAUAGGCCUCCCCACAAGCUAUUGGUUCCGCAAGGGUGUCCGGGCUCCCCCCUCUGGCCUGGGUUCACACUUCGCUUUCUGUUCCUGCUGGACCAAGCCCAACACUGUGGCUGAUGGAAGUGGGGACAGCUGGCACUGUCCCUGGAGAAGCGGUCUGAAGAGGCUCCUGGACUUCUGCAGGUCCGUGCAGAGGAUUUGGACCUGA
This 969-nucleotide long non-coding RNA is filed under the name Callithrix jacchus (white-tufted-ear marmoset). RNAcentral's name for it is "lncRNA (ENSCJAG00000079144.1)". Lineage: Eukaryota; Metazoa; Chordata; Mammalia; Primates; Cebidae. The record is from RNAcentral.